RNAcentral lists this unclassified non-coding RNA (287 nucleotides) under uncultured fungus. RNAcentral's name for it is "partial contains small subunit ribosomal RNA, internal transcribed spacer 1, and 5.8S ribosomal RNA". The stretch from base 1 to 73 matches the Rfam family "Eukaryotic small subunit ribosomal RNA", at positions 1759 to 1831 of the family's 1831-position model. Lineage: Eukaryota; Fungi. The record is from RNAcentral.
UCAAACUUGGUCAUUUAGAGGAAGUAAAAGUCGUAACAAGGUUUCCGUAGGUGAACCUGCGGAAGGAUCAUUAUCGAGGAGGGUCUCGAGGCCCGAUCUCCAACCCUUUUGAUAAGAUACCCUGUUGCUUUGGCAGGCCCGCCUUGUGGCCGCGGGGGAUCAUCGGUCCCUAGCCUGUGCCUGCCAGUGGCCCUCAAAAACCCUCAAAAUGUGUCGUCUGAGGAAUACAAUGAUAAAAAACUUUCAACAACGGAUCUCUUGGUUCUGGCAUCAAUGAAGAACGCAGC